UUUACUGACAAAGCUUUCUGCACCAGUUGAAUGAUCCUGCACUUGAUUAUUAUGCUGGUGGUGAAAUGGCCUACCAAGACUGUGAUCCCUACCUGAUUUGAGAUGAUGAUCAGACUCGUUGGGACUGACACACGCCCCAAACUCCUACCGCAGGCCGCACUGCUGAAUCUUGCACAACGGAGGAAACUCUGAUGCCGCAAUACCCCCUGAUUGAACAAUGCCUUUGGAUUGAAAAACUCUUUCGUCUUGGAAAAAAAUGACUGCACCCAAAAAAAAAAGUGCGGCUAACUUCGUGCCACCAGCCGCCUUCAUGCCAACGGACCUAGCAUAACUCAGAAUUACUGGGCUUAUAGAAUUCGCAGGUGGUUGAAAAAGCUGGUGGGGAAAUCCCAGAUCUUAACUCUGGAACUGACCUCAACUCUUUUCCUCUCGUCUAUGAUUUACGAAAGUAGAAUUUCUAGUGUAAAGGUGAAAUUCGUAGAUAUUAUAAAGAAUACCAAUUGCAAAAGCAGCUUUCUGGAUCAUUACUGACACUGAGGAACUUACUCAUGCUUAGCAAAGAGGAUUAGAUACCCUCAUAGUCCUUGCCACACACGAUGUCUGUUACACGUUGGAAAUUUAUU
This 623-nucleotide ribosomal RNA is filed under the name uncultured marine bacterium. RNAcentral's name for it is "bacterial SSU rRNA". It matches the Rfam family "Bacterial small subunit ribosomal RNA", at positions 194 to 835 of the family's 1533-position model. The record is from RNAcentral.